This 280-nucleotide ribosomal RNA is filed under the name uncultured bacterium. RNAcentral describes it as "partial 16S ribosomal RNA". It matches the Rfam family "Bacterial small subunit ribosomal RNA", at positions 506 to 784 of the family's 1533-position model. The record is from RNAcentral.
UGCCAGCAGCCGCGGUAAUACGGAGGGUGCGAGCGUUGUCCGGAUUUAUUGGGCGUAAAGGGCUCGUAGGCGGUUACGUAAGUCGGAUGUGAAAACUCGAGGCUCAACUUCGAGACGCCAUCCGAUACUGCGUUGACUUGAGUCCGGUAGAGGAGUGUGGAAUUCCUAGUGUAGCGGUGAAAUGCGCAGAUAUUAGGAGGAACACCUAUUGCGAAGGCAGCACUCUGGGCCGGUACUGACGCUGAGGCACGAAAGCGUGGGGAGCGAACAGGAUUAGAUA